GCGUCUAUGGCUCAACUGGAUAGAGCUCCCGGUUUCGGCCCGGGUGGUUGUGGGUUCGAAUCCUACUAGGCGUGCCA
RNAcentral lists this transfer RNA (77 nucleotides) under Malaciobacter pacificus. Its description in RNAcentral is "tRNA-Arg". It matches the Rfam family "tRNA". Rfam says of the family: Transfer RNA (tRNA) molecules are approximately 80 nucleotides in length. Their secondary structure includes four short double-helical elements and three loops (D, anti-codon, and T loops). Lineage: Bacteria; Pseudomonadati; Campylobacterota; Epsilonproteobacteria; Campylobacterales; Arcobacteraceae. The record is from RNAcentral.